AGUGAACGCUGGCGGUAGGCCUAACACAUGCAAGUCGAACGGCAGCACAGUAAGAGCUUGCUCUUACGGGUGGCGAGUGGCGGACGGGUGAGGAAUACAUCGGAAUCUACUUUUUCGUGGGGGAUAACGUAGGGAAACUUACGCUAAUACCGCAUACGACCUACGGGUGAAAGCAGGGGAUCUUCGGACCUUGCGCGAUUGAAUGAGCCGAUGUCGGAUUAGCUAGUUGGCGGGGUAAAGGCCCACCAAGGCGACGAUCCGUAGCUGGUCUGAGAGGAUGAUCAGCCACACUGGAACUGAGACACGGUCAAGACUCCUACGGGAGGCAGCAGUGGGGAAUAUGGGACAAUGGGCGCAAGCCUGGUCCAGCCAUACCGCGUGUGUGAAGAAGGCCUUCGGGUUGUAAAGACCUUUUGUUGGGAAAGAAAAGCAGCAGGUUAAUACCCCGCUGUUCUGACGGUACCCAAAGAAUAAGCACCGGCUAACUUCGUG
Molecule: ribosomal RNA, 492 nt
Filed under: uncultured bacterium
Lineage: Bacteria
Description: partial 16S ribosomal RNA
Rfam family: Bacterial small subunit ribosomal RNA
Source: RNAcentral